This 65-nucleotide transfer RNA is filed under the name Blautia wexlerae. RNAcentral's name for it is "tRNA-Met". The stretch from base 4 to 60 matches the Rfam family "tRNA", at positions 10 to 63 of the family's 71-position model. Rfam says of the family: Transfer RNA (tRNA) molecules are approximately 80 nucleotides in length. Their secondary structure includes four short double-helical elements and three loops (D, anti-codon, and T loops). Further hydrogen bonds mediate the characteristic L-shaped molecular structure. tRNAs have two regions of fundamental functional importance: the anti-codon, which is responsible for specific mRNA codon recognition, and the 3' end, to which the tRNAs corresponding amino acid is attached (by aminoacyl-tRNA synthetases). tRNAs cope with the degeneracy of the genetic code in two manners: having more than one tRNA (with a specific anti-codon) for a particular amino acid; and 'wobble' base-pairing, i.e. permitting non-standard base-pairing at the 3rd anti-codon position. The record is from RNAcentral. Lineage: Bacteria; Bacillati; Bacillota; Clostridia; Lachnospirales; Lachnospiraceae.
GGNGCUCAGUUGGCUAGAGCACACGGUUCAUACCCGUGGUGUCGAGGGUUCGAAUCCCCCUCUCG